AGAGUUUGAUCAUGGCUCAGGAUAAACGCUAGCGGCAGGCCUAACACAUGCAAGCCGAGGGGCAUCGCGCGGUAGCAAUACUGUGGCGGCGACCGGCGCACGGGUGCGUAACACGUAUGCAACCAACCCUGUACACGGGGAUAUCCCGGAGAAAUUCGAAGUAAUACCCGAUAAGAUCAAGCGAAGGCAUCCGAGGUUGAUGAAAGGAAGCGAUUCGGUAUAGGACGGGCAUGCGUCCCAUUAGAUAGUUGGUGAGGUAACGGCUCACCAAGUCGACGAUGGGUAGGGGAUCUGAGAGGAUAAUCCCCCACAUUGGUACUGAGACAGGGACCAAACUCCUACGGGAGGCAGCAGUGAGGAAUAUUGGGCAAUGGAUGGAAGUCUGACCCAGCCAUGCCGCGUGCAGGAAGACGGCCCUAUGGGUUGUAAACUGCUUUUGCAGGCGGAAAAAAGCGAGAUUGCGAUCCUGUCCGAUGGUAGUCUGCGAAUAAGAAUCGGCUAACUCCGUGCCAGCAGCCGCGGUAAUACGGAGGAUUCGAGCGUUAUCCGGAAUUAUUGGGUUUAAAGGGUGCGCAGGCGGACCGUUAAGUCAGCGGUGAAAAUCUGGUGCUUAACAUCAGGAGUGCCGUUGAUACUGGCGGACUAGAGUAUGAUUGACGUAAGUGGAAUGUAGCAUGUAGCGGUGAAAUGCAUAGAGAUGCUACAGAACACCGAUAGCGAAGGCAGCUUACGAAGUCACAACUGACGCUCAGGCACGAAAGCGUGGGGAGCGAACAGGAUUAGAUACCCUGGUAGUCCACGCAGUAAACGAUGAUAACUGGCUUUUGGCGAUAGACGGUCAGAGGCUGAGAGAAAUCAAUAAGUUAUCCACCUGGGGAGUACGAUGGCAACAUUGAAACUCAAAGGAAUUGACGGGGGCCCGCACAAGCGGAGGAGCAUGUGGUUUAAUUCGAUGAUACGCGAGGAACCUUACCCGGGCUUGAACGUGACAUGAAGACUCCAGAGAUGGCGUUGCCGCAAGGCAUGUUGCGAGGUGCUGCAUGGUUGUCGUCAGCUCGUGCCGUGAGGUGUCGGGUUAAGUCCCAUAACGAGCGCAACCCUCAUUGACAGUGUACCAUCGGGUAGAGCCGGGGACUCUGUUGAGACUGCCUACGCAAGUAGAGAGGAAGGUGGGGAUGACGUCAAAUCAGCACGGCCCUUAUGUCCGGGGCGACACACGUGCUACAAUGGUGGGGACAGAGAGCAGCUUGCCGGUGACGGUUGGCGAAUCUGUAAAACCCCAUCUCAGUUCGGAUCGAAGUCUGCAACCCGACUUCGUGAAGUUGGAUUCGCUAGUAAUCGCGCAUCAGCCAUGGCGCGGUGAAUACGUUCCCGGGCCUUGUACACACCGCCCGUCAAGCCAUGGAAGUUGGGGGUACCUGAAGUUCGUGACCGCGAGGAGCGACCUAGGGUAAAACCAGUGACUGGGGCUAAGUCGUAACAAGGUAACC
RNAcentral lists this ribosomal RNA (1490 nucleotides) under uncultured rumen bacterium. RNAcentral's name for it is "bacterial SSU rRNA". It matches the Rfam family "Bacterial small subunit ribosomal RNA". The record is from RNAcentral.